UCGAGGACACCAACCUGUGCGCC
Molecule: unclassified non-coding RNA, 23 nt
Filed under: Chlamydomonas reinhardtii
Lineage: Eukaryota; Viridiplantae; Chlorophyta; Chlorophyceae; Chlamydomonadales; Chlamydomonadaceae
Description: small RNA Cre_2639
Source: RNAcentral